GUGUCAGCAGCCGCGGUAAGACAGAGGUGGCGAGCGUUGUUCGGAAUUACUGGGCUUAAAGGGCGAGUAGGCGUCCCGGUAAGUCAGAUGUGGAAUCUUUUCGCUUAACGAAAAAAUUGCAUCUGAAACUAUCGGGAUUGAGUCAGUGAGGGGAGGGCGGAAUUCCUGGUGUAGCGGUGAAAUGCGUAGAUAUCAGGAGGAAGGCCUGUGGCGAAGGCGGCCCUCUGGCACUGUACUGACGCUGAGGCGCGAAAGCGUGGGGAGCAAACAGGAUUAGAUACCCUGGUAGUCCACGCCCUAAACGGUGGGCAUUAGGUGUAGGGCUCGUAAGGGUUCUGUGCCGAAGGGAAACCAUUAAAUGCCCCGCCUGGGGAGUACGGCCGCAAGGUUGAA
RNAcentral lists this ribosomal RNA (393 nucleotides) under uncultured bacterium. Its description in RNAcentral is "bacterial SSU rRNA". It matches the Rfam family "Bacterial small subunit ribosomal RNA", at positions 505 to 898 of the family's 1533-position model. The record is from RNAcentral.